This 253-nucleotide ribosomal RNA is filed under the name uncultured bacterium. RNAcentral's name for it is "partial 16S ribosomal RNA". It matches the Rfam family "Bacterial small subunit ribosomal RNA", at positions 524 to 776 of the family's 1533-position model. The record is from RNAcentral.
UACGGAGGGUGCAAGCGUUAUCCGGAUUUACUGGGUUUAAAGGGUGCGUAGGUGGGUUGGUAAGUCAGUGGUGAAAUCUUCGAGCUUAACUCGGAAACUGCCAUUGAUACUAUUAAUCUUGAAUUAUCUGGAGUUAAGCGGAAUAUGUCAUGUAGCGGUGAAAUGCUUAGAUAUGACAUAGAACACCCAUUGCGAAGGCAGCUUACUACGGAUACAUUGACACUGAGGCACGAAAGCGUGGGGAUCAAACAGG